GACGAACGCUGGCGGCGUGCUUAACACAUGCAAGUCGAACGGAAAGGCCCUGCUUUUGUGGGGUGCUCGAGUGGCGAACGGGUGAGUAACACGUGAGUAACCUGCCCUUGACUUUGGGAUAACUUCAGGAAACUGGGGCUAAUACCGGAUAGGAGCUCCUGUUGCAUGGUGGGGGUUGGAAAGUUUCGGCGGUUGGGGAUGGACUCGCGGCUUAUCAGCUUGUUGGUGGGGUAGUGGCUUACCAAGGCUUUGACGGGUAGCCGGCCUGAGAGGGUGACCGGCCUCAUUGGGACUGAGAUACGGCCCAGACUCCUACGGGAGGCAGCAGUGGGGAAUAUUGCACAAUGGGCGGAAGCCUGAUGCAGCAACGCCGCGUGCGGGAUGACGGCCUUCGGGUUGUAAACCGCUUUCGCCUGUGACGAAGCGUGAGUGACGGUAAUGGGUAAAGAAGCACCGGCUAACUACGUG
RNAcentral lists this ribosomal RNA (468 nucleotides) under uncultured bacterium. RNAcentral describes it as "partial 16S ribosomal RNA". It matches the Rfam family "Bacterial small subunit ribosomal RNA", at positions 28 to 507 of the family's 1533-position model. The record is from RNAcentral.